Molecule: ribosomal RNA, 799 nt
Filed under: Bacillus cereus
Lineage: Bacteria; Bacillati; Bacillota; Bacilli; Caryophanales; Bacillaceae
Description: bacterial SSU rRNA
Rfam family: Bacterial small subunit ribosomal RNA
Source: RNAcentral
ACGGGUGAGUAACACGUGGGUAACCUGCCCAUAAGACUGGGAUAACUCCGGGAAACCGGGGCUAAUACCGGAUAACAUUUUGAACCGCAUGGUUCGAAAUUGAAAGGCGGCUUCGGCUGUCACUUAUGGAUGGACCCGCGUCGCAUUAGCUAGUUGGUGAGGUAACGGCUCACCAAGGCAACGAUGCGUAGCCGACCUGAGAGGGUGAUCGGCCACACUGGGACUGAGACACGGCCCAGACUCCUACGGGAGGCAGCAGUAGGGAAUCUUCCGCAAUGGACGAAAGUCUGACGGAGCAACGCCGCGUGAGUGAUGAAGGCUUUCGGGUCGUAAAACUCUGUUGUUAGGGAAGAACAAGUGCUAGUUGAAUAAGCUGGCACCUUGACGGUACCUAACCAGAAAGCCACGGCUAACUACGUGCCAGCAGCCGCGGUAAUACGUAGGUGGCAAGCGUUAUCCGGAAUUAUUGGGCGUAAAGCGCGCGCAGGUGGUUUCUUAAGUCUGAUGUGAAAGCCCACGGCUCAACCGUGGAGGGUCAUUGGAAACUGGGAGACUUGAGUGCAGAAGAGGAAAGUGGAAUUCCAUGUGUAGCGGUGAAAUGCGUAGAGAUAUGGAGGAACACCAGUGGCGAAGGCGACUUUCUGGUCUGUAACUGACACUGAGGCGCGAAAGCGUGGGGAGCAAACAGGAUUAAAUACCCUGGUAGUCCACGCCGUAAACGAUGAGUGCUAAGUGUAAAAGGGUUUCCCCCCUUUAGUGCUGAAGUUACGCAUUAGCCCUCCCCCUGGGGAAUACGGCC